Homo sapiens (human) is the source of this 323-nucleotide long non-coding RNA. RefSeq lists it as uncharacterized. The transcript has 3 exons. NCBI's taxonomy places the organism in Eukaryota, Metazoa, Chordata, Mammalia, Primates, Hominidae. The record is from RefSeq and is a predicted model, not a curated record.
UAACUAUACAAUGCCAAAUGUCUUCUGGUGAUCUGAAGACAUCAGGGGCUUUUCUAUCAUGUAGACCAAACAUGAUUCAGGUGCAAAAAAGGGCCUGGAAGACUGCGUACGGAAAAAUGGGGCAGCAGUGUGAGAGUAUUCUGAAACAACGCGAAGACAGAAAUAGCAGCGCCGACAGAGUUGCAGAACUCCAGAGCCAGAAGGAUGAUAUCUCAACAAAUGACAGAGCCCAAUUCAUUGACUCCAAUAAGAACGACACGCGUCUAUUAUAACUUUACAAGAUGGAAAGUACAUACAGAAAAAUUUUGAAGUUUUAAGAGUUA